This 433-nucleotide ribosomal RNA is filed under the name uncultured bacterium. RNAcentral's name for it is "partial 16S ribosomal RNA". It matches the Rfam family "Bacterial small subunit ribosomal RNA", at positions 353 to 772 of the family's 1533-position model. The record is from RNAcentral.
UGGGGGAAUUUUUGGACAAUGGGCGAAAGCCUGAUCCAGCAAUGCCGCGUGUGUGAAGAAGGCCUUCGGGUUGUAAAGCACUUUUGUCCGGAAAGAAAUCCUCUGGGUUAAUACCUCGGGGGGAUGACGGUACCGGAAGAAUAAGCACCGGCUAACUACGUGCCAGCAGCCGCGGUAAUACGUAGGGUGCAAGCGUUAAUCGGAAUUACUGGGCGUAAAGCGUGCGCAGGCGGUUUGCUAAGACCGAUGUGAAAUCCCCGGGCUCAACCUGGGAACUGCAUUGGUGACUGGGCAGGCUAGAGUAUGGCGGAGGGGGGUAGAAUUCCACGUGUAGCAGUGAAAGUGCGUAGAGAUGUGGAGGAAUACCGAUGGCGAAGGGCAGCCCCCCUGGGGCCAAUACUGACGCUCAUGCACGAAAGCGUGGGGGAGCAAA